Molecule: long non-coding RNA, 916 nt
Organism: Betta splendens (Siamese fighting fish)
Lineage: Eukaryota; Metazoa; Chordata; Actinopteri; Anabantiformes; Osphronemidae
Exons: 4
Source: RefSeq, a predicted model, not a curated record
UGGGCUACAGUGUGGAGUUUGUAUGUCCUCCCGGUGUUCGCGUGGGUUCUCUCCGGGUUCUCCGGCUUCCUCCCAAAGACAUGCAUUAGGUCAUUAUUCAUUGGUCACUACAAAUCGCCCGUAGUUGUGAGUGUGUGUGUGAAUGGUUAUGUCUCUAUAUGUUGCCCGUGCCCUGUCCAGGGUGUACCCCGCCUCUCGCCCAAAGACAGCUGGGAUAGGCUCCAGCCCCCACCCACGACCCCGCAUGGGAACUAGCGGCAGAAGAUGGAUGGAUGAGCAUGUGACGAUUACGCAGGAGCUCACCUGGUAGGUGGGGCAGCCCAGACAUACCUGGAGGGAGCCUCAUUAUUAGAAAGGCAGGAGUCCUAGGAGUUUGAAGAGGCACUAGAGAGGAGAAGAGGCACACAGCCAGCGUGAUAUGCCAUAGGACUCACCCAGCCACAAACGUCAGGAGCAACUUACAUCUGCUGAAGAGCAGCAUCAGCACCAGUGCCAGGCAGCUGAUGACUAAGGCUUAGGCCUCAAUCCUGCAGCCGGGGCAUCGCCAGGCUGAUGGUGCCUCGCUGGGAGAAGCUUUCUCACACCAACACCACUCAGCUCUGCGAUUCCAGUUAAAUUCUGUACUAAGGUUUGUCACUUGUGUGUGGCCUCUUUCAGACAUCCAGCGACUGGCUUUUGGAGUAGAAAGGCAGGACUUCAUACACACUAAUUUUAGGAAUACAGAAACAGAAAGCUGCCAACAGAGGAAGAAAUCAGCUCAACGUCCGUUUUCACUUCAUUUUAAUGUGUCAGAGAGUGAAAGUGAGCCCUCCACUGGCUCCUGAGUCACCUGUAGGCUGCUAAAAUGAGAUUCAGACCAAUACUGGUGUUAAAAAGGCUGUACAUGACUUUCACAUUAAAAGCAUAACUGACCGAU